RNAcentral lists this ribosomal RNA (25 nucleotides) under Maritrema eroliae. RNAcentral's name for it is "partial 28S ribosomal RNA". The record is from RNAcentral. Lineage: Eukaryota; Metazoa; Platyhelminthes; Trematoda; Plagiorchiida; Microphallidae.
UUUUCCUGACCUCGGAUCAGACGUG